Molecule: ribosomal RNA, 369 nt
Filed under: Triticum aestivum (bread wheat)
Lineage: Eukaryota; Viridiplantae; Streptophyta; Magnoliopsida; Poales; Poaceae
Description: partial small subunit ribosomal RNA
Source: RNAcentral
GCCGGCAGUGUCCCAAAUCUGGGCCUUGACGACCUUGCCGUCGACAUAGAGGGAGCAGGUGGCGAACUCGACCCUGAUGGUGGACUUGGACUCGAGGGUGAACUCGUUGCGGGUGAAGCGGGAGAGCAGGUUGGACUUGCCGAUGCCGGAGUCGCCGAUGAGGACGACCUUGAAGAGGUAGUCGUGGUUGUCCUCCGCCCGGUACACCGCCGCCAUUGCUGUCGUCGCGUCGGCGAUCUUGUUGUGGGGGUGGGGAAGGAGGGGCGAAAGGGGAUGGUGGGGGAGGGAGGAGAUGGGAGGCGACGAGGUGGAUGGCGGAGCGAUGGGGGACGGGGAGGAGAUGGUGGAGAGGUCGGCGGUGGUGGGUAG